AUUGAAACUCCCUUAUACCAGGCUAUGACUACCACUGGUGCCAUCCACUUCUGACAAGGAAUUCUGAACAAGGUUAGCUGUGAACAAAAAGAGAAGAAUGAUAUGGAAGGCAGGGAGAGCAGAUGUAAUCAGAGGAUUAGGCUUCUGGCCCCGAGGCCAUUCCAUAACAUCUACAGAACGGCAGGAACACUGGUCAAAGAACUGGAUCCUGGAGGAAAACAAAUUACGUCUGAAUUUCUAAUGGCUAACCUUACAAUUCUGAAACCGAUGAUGGAAUGAAGCGAUGAGUAUGAUGAUCACUACCAUGGGAAACUUUCAGCUGCCACCGAUGUGGAAUGUACAUGAAAUGGAACAUAAGCACUAUUUGCCAAUUUUUCACAUAGAAGCUUGAAGUAGUGCUUCCCUGGUGGCGCAGUGGUUAACAAUCUGCCUGCCAAUGCAGGGGACACGGGUUCGAGCCCUGGUCCUGGAAGAUCCCACAUGCCGCGGAGCAACUAAGCCCAUGCACCACAACUACUGAGCCCGCGCUCUAGAGCCCGCAUGCCACAACUACCAAGCCUGCGUACCACAACUGCUGAAGUCCGUGCGCCUAGAGCCCGUGCUCCACAACAAGAAAAGCCACCACAGUGAGAAGCCCGUGCACCACAGUGAAGAGUAGCCCCCCUCGCUGCAACUAGAGAAAGCCCGCACGUAGCAACAAAGACCCAACGCGGUCAAAAAUAAAUAAAAAAUAAUCAAUAAAAAAAAAAGAAACUUGAAGUAAUAAAUGCAUCUUCU
Lagenorhynchus albirostris (white-beaked dolphin) is the source of this 777-nucleotide long non-coding RNA. RefSeq lists it as uncharacterized. NCBI's taxonomy places the organism in Eukaryota, Metazoa, Chordata, Mammalia, Artiodactyla, Delphinidae. The transcript has 3 exons. The record is from RefSeq and is a predicted model, not a curated record.